Molecule: ribosomal RNA, 264 nt
Filed under: uncultured Staphylococcus sp.
Lineage: Bacteria; Bacillati; Bacillota; Bacilli; Caryophanales; Staphylococcaceae
Description: partial 16S ribosomal RNA
Rfam family: Bacterial small subunit ribosomal RNA
Source: RNAcentral
CGGACGGGUGAGUAACACGUGGAUAACCUACCUAUAAGACUGGGAUAACUUCGGGAAACCGGAGCUAAUACCGGAUAAUAUAUUGAACCGCAUGGUUCAAUAGUGAAAGACGGUUUUGCUGUCACUUAUAGAUGGAUCCGCGCCGCAUUAGCUAGUUGGUAAGGUAACGGCUUACCAAGGCAACGAUGCGUAGCCGACCUGAGAGGGUGAUCGGCCACACUGGAACUGAGACACGGUCCAGACUCCCUACGGGAGGCAGCAGCU